GAGAUCCACUGCAGAAAUAUCCAUGAAGACAUCUAUCAGAGGCUGGAGUUGCUUACAUACACAACAUGUAAGAACUUAAGACAUCUAUCGACGCUUUGACCCAGAUCGAUUAUGCAGGUCCAACAGUUGCUCAAGUGACACAAAAGACCACCUGUCCUCAACUUGUGCAAAUACCUUCUGAUUGAGAGAAUCUAUAAUAAUACUAAUGUUACCAAAACCAUAUAUCUGAUGACCAUCUUGCAUCCUGCCAGGCUUAGGCUUGAAC
RNAcentral lists this unclassified non-coding RNA (265 nucleotides) under Hevea brasiliensis (rubber tree). Lineage: Eukaryota; Viridiplantae; Streptophyta; Magnoliopsida; Malpighiales; Euphorbiaceae. The record is from RNAcentral.